Long non-coding RNA from Pristis pectinata (smalltooth sawfish), 497 nucleotides. RefSeq lists it as uncharacterized. The record is from RefSeq and is a predicted model, not a curated record. NCBI's taxonomy places the organism in Eukaryota, Metazoa, Chordata, Chondrichthyes, Rhinopristiformes, Pristidae. The transcript is spliced from 3 exons.
CUGAAAGUCAGAUGACAAUAUAUCUGACCUCCUGUUCUGCUGCUGGAUCUAGUAAUCUGCCGGACUCAAUAGUCCAGCAGUUACUCUGUGAUGUAUUGAGCUUAGGGGCUGAACUUCACUAAAAAGAUCAGUUAAGGGAUUUCCUCCGCAUUCUCUGGUUUCCCCCCACAAAUCAAAGAUUCACGAGUUGGGAUAAUUCCACAUAACUGGAAGUAAGGGCACCAAACAGCAAAACAUGGACACAACCACAACAAUGUAACCCAGUGGAGGAGCUGGGCCCUUCUUGGUCAAAAUGCAUGUUAUUGAGUUCAUGUAAGACAGUGAGAAGAGACUAAAGAUACGGUCACUUAAUUUAACAUUCCUAGCACUAGAGCAGAUACUGUCACUUUGAGGUGACACCUGUUUGUAGCUAACCACCAUACACAAAUGGCAGGACAAUUUGUUCAACAUCUCCUCAACCUGUGGCUUCUACCAGUGAAAAGAACAUGGGGAGCAGG